Molecule: long non-coding RNA, 1296 nt
Filed under: Homo sapiens (human)
Lineage: Eukaryota; Metazoa; Chordata; Mammalia; Primates; Hominidae
Description: HSALNT0362814
Source: RNAcentral
UAAUGUGUAACUCACUUACACUCUUCCAUAAUGAGUCCUUGCCAUGUGGAAGGCACUCUGAAGAAUACAAAUAAGACUGUAAGAUGUAAUUCCUACUUCCACAAAGUAAAGCCCCCUGCAUAUAUGUUUACUGAUGUAAUGCACCUUAAGGUUAAUGACUCAAUGUUCAGUAACUACCAGCAGGAAUUUUCCCAGUAUUCCACAGAGCAUGAAUGGAUCAGGGCAUAUUUGUUUUCAGUCUUGAUAGAGUUGGCUCUUUGAGUGCCGCAGCCGACAGUGAUAGCCCAGCCUCAGCCAAUGUUAACUAGACACAAGCUGCAGAAAAGGCAUGGUGUGAAGUUGAUGAAGAAACCAGUUGAUAUUCAAUAUUGUUCCUGCUUCAGGAGCAACUUACAAAUAACGUGGUGGAACAGAGGACAUACGUCUAGGUAGAUGAUAGUUCAAAGACAUUUGUGGCCAUUAUCAAAUGAAUAGUCUAGAAAAUAAUAAUUAGAACUCAUCAGGGACAAGAAAGAAUCCUAUGGGCAGGGGAAGAUCCUCAGAGGAUGUGGGAUGUGAGCCAAGCUCUGAAGGAAUAAUGUAGAUGGAACCCAGAAUUCCAAGAUUCCAACCUUACUUUCUAGUCAAAACUCUACCAAUUGCCAGUGGUGAAGCUGGUAUAAGCCACGUAUCUCUGAGCCAAUUUUCUUAUCAUCAAAGUGAAGACAAUAGCACCAGCCAUACCUUCCUUAGGGCGUUUUGCAGGCUAAAUGAGAUAGUGGGCAAUUGAAACUUGUUGUCAUCAAACAAGGUGAAGAGACUGGGCCUUUGAGAAUAAUUGCAUCUCUAUAGAGAAAUCAUGCUUUUACAGAAAAAUUUCUGUAGGAUCUCACCUAUCAGGUCCCUCGUUGGCUGCUCGUCAGAUUUCUCUCUUCAAUUCCAAGCGCAUCUUAUGUAAACAAUAGUGUCUAUGAUAGUGGAUGUGAUUGUGUGCUACCUGGAUCUCCUAGCUGAAAUCCUUCGAAGAAUUUCCUUCAGUCAAUGGGAGCCACCUCCCCUGAGGUUAUGGCUCCAGGUGAAGAUUAAACAGCUGUAGAAGUGUCAUCCAAGAUUGGCCAAUGCUGUUCCUGAGAGUCCUUCCUGGAGAGCCAUCUGCACACAGAUCUCAGUCUCAGAGUCUAUUUCCCAAUGAAUCUAAUCUGAGAGAUCUCUUCAUUUGCUGUUUUUUCCCUGUAUGAAAUAGUUACUUUGUUUUACUUUAUUUUAUUAAGUUCAGUGGUACAUGUGCAGGUGUGUUAUAUAGGUAAAUUGUGUGUC